AGAGGAGACGGGAGAGAGACACCACACACACACGGCACAAGAUGGCCGGAGAGGCAGCAGCACCCCGAGCUGUCAGGCGUUCCGCCGCGGCCGCGGAGCCCGCCGGCCGGCGAGGACCUACUCCCGGGCGGCCCGCAGACCCGCGGGAGCAAAGCUGCCGUGGCUGGGGGGCGAGGCGGGCCGCGCGCCGGGCUGGGAGCCCGCGGCAGAGGCGCCCGGGGCGGCCGGGCCCACGACGCGGAGAGCGUCGCUGCGGCAGCGGCCGCCGAGGCUCCCCGGGGCCCCGGCGGCCCGACCCGUACGGGCGGGAGGCUCGGGCGGGCGCCCUGGCGCGGGAGUCGGGUGCAGGCGACCAGGAGGGGUCGGCCGCGGCGUUCGGACCCGGUAACUUACAAGAUUAAAAUUAAAUUUGGUUGACGAUGAUUCUGAACAAAUACGCUGUUUUAUUUGAGGUAUGCCAUUUUGAAGACUGAGACCAUGGAAUUUUAUCCUUGAGGAUAAAUCUUUGUGAUAGUCUCUAUUUUGUAUAGCAAGAGUAUGAAUCCUGAAGCUGAAUUACCUAAGGGGCCUCUACACCGAAGUGAAAUAGAUGUUGGUGGAAGCAUUUACACCCAGUCAGCUUGAAGAGUCUCAAAUGGACCCUACCACUGAGAAAUCAAGAUGGCAGUCCACUAUGGGGAAUUGAGAAAAAUGGAUUAAUACAAGAGUGCUGUGAUAUUAUACAACCAAGACAGGGUUCUUUUAACAUGGAUUUCAUGAAAUGAAUGAAGAUAUAGGUUUCUUAACAGCACAAAUGGACAGUGAAUUUCACUUUCUAGAGACUUUUUGUAUCGCUAAUAUUUUUGACAUUUGGAGAAAAAGAUGGCACAUUAUUAACAGAUGAUAGUUUGUAUGCCUGGAAUUUUUUCAGUUUGAUUUGUAUGAGUAUGACCUUGUGGAAUGUUAACUUUAAUAAAAUUUCUAACACUUUAAAA
Long non-coding RNA from Capra hircus (goat), 974 nucleotides. RefSeq lists it as uncharacterized. NCBI's taxonomy places the organism in Eukaryota, Metazoa, Chordata, Mammalia, Artiodactyla, Bovidae. The record is from RefSeq and is a predicted model, not a curated record. The transcript has 5 exons.